RNAcentral lists this ribosomal RNA (414 nucleotides) under uncultured microorganism. RNAcentral describes it as "bacterial SSU rRNA". It matches the Rfam family "Archaeal small subunit ribosomal RNA", at positions 459 to 872 of the family's 1478-position model. The record is from RNAcentral.
CAGCCGCCGCGGUAAUACCGGCGGCCCGAGUGGCGGUCACUAUUAUUGGGCUUAAAGCGUCCGUAGCCGGGUUGGGAAGUCCUCCGGGAAAUCUGGCCGCUUAACGGUCAGAAUGCCGGAGGAUACUCCCAGCCUAGGGAGCGGGAGAGGCCGAGGGGAUUCCCGGGGUAGGGGUGGAAUCCUAUAAUCCCGGGAGGACCACCUGUGGCGAAGGCGCUCGGCUGGAACGCGUCCGACGGUGAGGGACGAAGGCCAGGGGAGCAAACCGGAUUAGAUACCCGGGUAGUCCUGGCUGUAAACGAUGCGGACUUUGUGUCGGACAAGCUAUGAGCUUGUCCGGUGCCGGAGGGAAACCGUUAAGUCCGCCGCCUGGGGAGUACGGCCGCAAGGCUGAAACUUAAAGGAAUUGGCGGG